GCAAGGCAGCUUUGAAAAACUAGCUUUUCGGCUUCUGCGCAAACCUCUCAAAUGUGGGUAAACAGUGACCCUUUAAUGAAAUUUUCUGGCAAUCCUACCCUUUCCCGAUUCCACGGCGAAGCUUCUUCACAAUGCAGAAGAUGGGGCAGGAAUGGUUUUCACAGACCGGCAGCGGCGGCGACGACUCGCAGAAGCCGUCGUUGUCUUCUUUGCUAGCCAAUUGGAACUCCUACGCCGCUUCAUAAUCCACUGACUAGAGCUCUUCUUUGGGACUUGGAUUCGAUCUCGAAUCUGCGGUGCGCUCUACUAACGACAUUGUUUCCGGCACUUUCAGCGUUGAGUGAGAAAUGAAAGUGAAGUUGCUGCAGUGGUUAAAAGAGCAUAGACGAAAAUUUGAGUAUAUGGUUGUAUUUGCUUAGUUCAGUUCUCUUUGUAUAAAAAAUAGAGAGAUCAUAUAGUUGUAAAUGAUUCAAUUUCUUGGUUUAGUUAGUGUUUCGAAGUGAUAUGUGAUUGUACAAUGAUUCCAUAACUGCUAUAGUUGUUUCCUAUAUGCUACCAGAUGCUAUGGAUUGUACAAGAAUGCUAUAAAAAGCUAUAACAGCAUUUGGAAAAUGCUAUGAAAAGUUUACAAUAGCAUUUGAUGAAUGCAUCUAAUUAGACUACUUUCAAGUA
This is a long non-coding RNA of Malus domestica (apple), 672 nucleotides long. RefSeq lists it as uncharacterized. Lineage: Eukaryota; Viridiplantae; Streptophyta; Magnoliopsida; Rosales; Rosaceae. The record is from RefSeq and is a predicted model, not a curated record.